ACACAUGCAAGUCGAACGGUAGCACANANAGCUUGCUCUCGGGUGACGAGUGGCGGACGGGUGAGUAAUGUCUGGGAAACUGCCUGAUGGAGGGGGAUAACUNCUGGAAACGGUAGCUAAUACCGCAUAACGUCGCAAGACCAAAGAGGGGGACCUUCGGGCCUCUUGCCAUCAGAUGUGCCCAGAUGGGAUUAGCUAGUAGGUGGGGUAACGGCUCACCUAGGCGACGAUCCCUAGCUGGUCUGAGAGGAUGACCAGCCACACUGGAACUGAGACACGGUCCAGACUCCUACGGGAGGCAGCAGUGGGGAAUAUUGCACAAUGGGCGCAAGCCUGAUGCAGCCAUGCCGCGUGUAUGAAGAAGGCCUUCGGGUUGUAAAGUACUUUCAGCGGGGAGGAAGGCGAUAAGGUUAAUAACCNUGUCGAUUGACGUUACCCGCAGAAGAAGCACCGGCUAACUCCGUGCCACCAGCCGCGGUAAUAAGGGC
Molecule: ribosomal RNA, 488 nt
Filed under: uncultured bacterium
Lineage: Bacteria
Description: bacterial SSU rRNA
Rfam family: Bacterial small subunit ribosomal RNA
Source: RNAcentral